This is a non-coding RNA of Chlorocebus sabaeus (green monkey), 2127 nucleotides long. NCBI's taxonomy places the organism in Eukaryota, Metazoa, Chordata, Mammalia, Primates, Cercopithecidae. The record is from RefSeq and is a predicted model, not a curated record.
AAAGUGCUGGGAUUACAGGCUUGAGCCACUGAACUUGGCCUCUCUCUCUGUGUCUUCAUGUGUCUUCAACGCCAAGAGGGAGCCUCUGGCCCCUUAGGGUCGGGGUCCCAGAGGCCCAUGGUCAAGGCUAUGGCCGCCUCCCAAGGAGGUGCAUCCCUGCAAGAGGCUGCAUCCAACAGUCAAGGAAGAGGCUCCGAUGGGGCCCGCUGGGGAAAGCAAGUGGAGGUGCCCCUUGAAGAAAUGGGGAUCCCAUCAAUCUCAGGGGUUCUGUCCUGGUCUGCCGCCCUGGAUCAUCCACCCUCUGCUGGGAUGGGGAGCAGACGACGCCCUUCUUGGCUGGCGCUGAGGGUGGGGGAGUCACGCUUCCCCAAAGGCCUAGCGGGGGUUCCAGUCACAGGCCCCACUGGGCAGCGCCUGGCGCCGCCCCGCCUCUCCAGCUUUGGCACUCGCCCUCAACAAAGAUGGCGCGGACGACCUCAUGCGCGUCACGCGACCCUCCCGCAUGACUCCUCCAGCGCCGCGCUUAUCCCCGCACACCGCGGCCGAGAGGGGGAGCAGGAAGCAUGGACUGGCGGGCGGCUGUGGCCCGGGAGGCUCUCGGGCCGCUGUUGUGUGGCUGCGCGCUGGCGCUGCCGGGCGGGAUGCUGUACCCCCGGGAGAGCCCGUCGCAAGAGCGCCAGGAGCUGGACGGCCUCUGGAGCUUCCGCGGCGACUUCUCCGACAACCGACGCAGGGGCUUCGAGGAGCAGAGAUACUGGGUCUGACUACGUUAACCAGCCUGGUCUGGAACUCCUAGCCUGAAGCCAUCCUCCCACGUUGACCUCCCACAGCGCUGAUUACAGUCAUGAGCCACCAGACACUCCUCAGGCCUGAGCGGCAGGCGCUGCCCAGAGCUGGGUCCGGGAUUGGGAGGAGGGGACAGUUUGGACAUUCUGAGGUCAGCUCUGCGCAGUCGGGCCCCACCUUGGACGUACCGGUUCCCUCCAUCUUGAUCGACAUCAGCCAGGACUGGCGGCUAUGGCAUUUUGUCAGCUGGGUGUGGUAUGAACGGGAGGUGACCCUGCUGGAGCGAUGGAUCCAGGACCUGUGCACAAGAGUGGUGCUGAGGAUUGGCAGUGCCCACUUCUAUGCCAUCGUGGUAUCCCAAGGGUUACUUUGUCCAGAACACAGACUUUGACUUCUUCAACUAUGCGGGACUGCAGCGGUCUGUGCUUCUGUACACGACACCAACUACCUACAUCGAUGACAUCACCAUCACCACCCGUGUGGAGGAAGACAGUGGUGAGAGCUUCUGGGCUGGUGAAUUACCAGAUCUCCAUCAAGUGCAGUAACCAGUUCGAGUUGGAAGUGCGUCUUUUGGAUGCAGAAAACAUUUGGAUGCAGAAGUCGUGGCCAAUGGGGCUGGGACCCAGGGCCAGGUGAAGGUGCCGGGUGCCAGCCUCUGGUGGCCAGACCUGAUGCACGAACACCCCGCCUACCUGUACUCGGGGGAGAUCCGAGGGAAGGACUUCGACCUGCUUCGCUGGCUUGGCACCAACACCUUCUGCACCAGCCACUAUCCCUACGCAGAGAUGCUGCAGAUGUGUGACUGAUAUGGAAUUGUGGUUAUUGAUGAGUGUCCCGCUGUGGGCCUGGUGCUGCCAUGAGUCCCUGCUGUGCAUCUGCUCCGCCUGGCCAGCCCAUGGGCCACACCGUGCCUCCGUCCCUUCCCUCCUGGCCCCCGGCAGCUCUUCAACAACGUGUCUAUGCAUCACUACAUGUGGGUGAUGGAAGAACUGGUGCACAGAGACAAGAAUCACCCUGCCGUGGUGAUGUGGUCUGGCCAGGAGCCUACAUCCUACCUAGAAUCUGCCAGCUACUACAUGAAGUGAGUGCCCCUGGCAUGCUCUGGGCUGGAUCAGGAAGGAGACCCUGGCAGGUGGCAGAUGGGUGGACGUGUGCAGUCCGAGAUCAGCGUCCCAUCCCAAUCCAAUGGGAAGGCCGUCCAUACCCGGACAGUUCAGGGAACCAGAUAUCUACUUACCCAAAUUGUGGUUUUAUUUUUCUGUUUUUGAGACGGAGUUUUGCUGUGUCGCCCAGGCUGGAGUGCAGUGGUGAGAUCUUGGCUCACUACACCCUCGGCCUCCU